RNAcentral lists this long non-coding RNA (409 nucleotides) under Homo sapiens (human). RNAcentral's name for it is "HSALNT0365855". Lineage: Eukaryota; Metazoa; Chordata; Mammalia; Primates; Hominidae. The record is from RNAcentral.
UGAAAGAAUUCAUGUUCAGCAGGCCUCCAUGAUGUAAUACUCGAAGGAAGCUCUUGGAACAAAAGAAGGGAACUUCUGAUAUGCAAGAAAGAAUGAAGAGCUCAGGAAUAGACUACAUCACAAGAAGGUCAGGGUGCUUUCUGCUGAGUAUCGAUGAAAGCGGACAAGAAUAUAUACAGCAGAGCUCUUUUCGCUCUGUCUUCUUCAGUAAGCAAUGCUGGUGGAUUCUUCUGCAUCAACUUGGUUAAACUGAAACAACUUAUCCCAGAAUUUCUUCUGUAUAUAUUUCCAAGUUAGAGUCGGCCAAAAGAAAAAUUUGCACAAGAUCUGGAAGGUAGGAGUGAAACAGCAACCAAUAUUCUCUGAAGCUGCCAUGGUCAGAUGUAGUGAUAAACACAUGCAAAUUGCC